Molecule: ribosomal RNA, 468 nt
Filed under: uncultured bacterium
Lineage: Bacteria
Description: partial 16S ribosomal RNA
Rfam family: Bacterial small subunit ribosomal RNA
Source: RNAcentral
GACGAACGCUGGCGGCGUGCUUAACACAUGCAAGUCGAACGGAAAGGCCCUGCUUUUGUGGGGUGCUCGAGUGGCGAACGGGUGAGUAACACGUGAGUAACCUGCCCUUGACUUUGGGAUAACUUCAGGAAACUGGGGCUAAUACCGGAUAGGAGCUCCUGCUGCAUGGUGGGGGUUGGAAAGUUUCGGCGGUUGGGGAUAGACUCGCGGCUUAUCAGCUAGUUGGUGGGGUAGUGGCUUACCAAGGCUUUGACGGGUAGCCGGCCUGAGAGGGUGACCGGCCACAUUGGGACUGAGAUACGGCCCAGACUCCUACGGGAGGCAGCAGUGGGGAAUAUUGCACAAUGGGCGGAAGCCUGAUGCAGCAACGCCGCGUGCGGGAUGACGGCCUUCGGGUUGUAAACCGCUUUCGCCUGUGACGAAGCGUGAGUGACGGUAAUGGGUAAAGAAGCACCGGCUAACUACGUG